GCAGUUAAAAAGCUCGUAGUCGGAUUUCAGUAUUAGGCCCUUCUUCCAAUACGGUUGCUAGUGGUCUUUACUUCCUUAACAGAAUCUUUCAUCUCAUUAAUUUGGGGUGUUUGGGGCCUGUUUCUUUUACUUUGAGAAAAUUAGAGUGUUCAAAGCGGGUUUUCGCCAGGAUAUUACUCUUGGAAUAAUAAUAUAGGACUUUGGUUCUUUUUUGUUGGUGACUUAGAACCGAAGUAAUGAUUGAUAGGGACAGUUGGGGUCAUUCGUACUAUGAAGCGAGAGGUGAAAUUCAUGGACCUUUGUAUGACGAACUACUGCGAAAGCAUUUGACUAGGAUGUUCCCGUUGAUCAAGAACGAAAGUUGGGGGAUCGAAGACGAUCAGAUACCGUCGUAGUCUCAACCAUAAACUAUGCCAGCUAGGGAUUGGAGGAAGAUCAUUUUACGUCUCCUUCAGCACCUUAUGAGAAAUCAAAGCAUUUGGGUUCCGGGGGGAGUAUGGUCGCAAGGCUGAAACUUAAAGGAAUUGACAGGAAGGCACCACCAGGAGUGGAGCCUGCGGCUUAAUUUGAUUCAACAC
This 578-nucleotide ribosomal RNA is filed under the name uncultured marine eukaryote. RNAcentral describes it as "SSU rRNA". It matches the Rfam family "Eukaryotic small subunit ribosomal RNA", at positions 615 to 1206 of the family's 1831-position model. The record is from RNAcentral.